RNAcentral lists this ribosomal RNA (254 nucleotides) under uncultured prokaryote. RNAcentral describes it as "partial 16S ribosomal RNA". It matches the Rfam family "Bacterial small subunit ribosomal RNA", at positions 524 to 777 of the family's 1533-position model. The record is from RNAcentral.
UACGGAGGAUGCAAGCGUUAUCCGGAUUUAUUGGGUUUAAAGGGUGCGCAGGUUGUUUGAUAAGUCAGUGGUGAAAGUCUGUCGCUUAACGGUAGGAUUGCCAUUGAUACUGUUGGACUUGAAUAUGGAUGAGGUAGGCGGAAUGUGUAGUGUAGCGGUGAAAUGCAUAGAUAUUACACAGAACACCGAUUGCGAAGGCAACUUACUAAUCCAUCAUUGACGCUGAGGCACGAAAGCGUGGGGAUCAAACAGGA